UACGAAGGGGGCUAGCGUUGCUCGGAAUGACUGGGCGUAAAGGGCGCGUAGGCGGUUUGUACAGUCAGGUGUGAAAUUCCCGGGCUCAACCUGGGGGCUGCACUUGAUACGUAUGGACUGGAGUGGGGAAGAGGGUCGUGGAAUUCCCAGUGUAGAGGUGAAAUUCGUAGAUAUUGGGAAGAACACCGGUGGCGAAGGCGGCGACCUGGUCCUUGACUGACGCUGAGGCGCGAAAGCAUGGGGAGCGAACAGG
RNAcentral lists this ribosomal RNA (253 nucleotides) under uncultured bacterium. RNAcentral's name for it is "partial 16S ribosomal RNA". It matches the Rfam family "Bacterial small subunit ribosomal RNA", at positions 524 to 776 of the family's 1533-position model. The record is from RNAcentral.